CUUUAUUCCUCAGGUACCGUCAUUUUGUUCUUCCCUGAGAAAAGAGGUUUACAACCCAAGAGCCUUCCUCCCUCACGCGGUAUUGCUCCGUCAGGCUUUCGCCCAUUGCGGAAAAUUCCCA
This 121-nucleotide ribosomal RNA is filed under the name Nostocales cyanobacterium DGGE band class 19. RNAcentral describes it as "partial 16S ribosomal RNA". The record is from RNAcentral. Lineage: Bacteria; Bacillati; Cyanobacteriota; Cyanophyceae; Nostocales.